AGUUUGCAGUUUUCACAAGACACUGACAUUAUUGCUUGUCCAGGCCAUCACACAAAAGAAGAUGUGUUCUUGAACAUAAAUUGCAGUUUGGCUACCCUGCUUCAGUACUUCUCACAUCACUGCAAGAGUUUCUUAAAACCUUCCAUCCAGAGGAUGAGGUAACUCCACAUCAUCAGGAGUGGCAACAUACAGAGAUCUCAGCCCAUGAACUGUCAGAUGUCCAACACAGUGUCAGUAACUGCUUUCAUAACAACAGAAAGAAGAGCUGCAGUUGUUAUUCACUAAAAUAGAAGCUCACAAACACCUUCAGUGCACGCCAGUUUAAGAUUCAGGUCAGAUGUUCCUGGACCCCAGCUUCCUGACACAUCUGGUGGGCAACCCAGCCCUCCUGGCUGACAAGACUUGGAACUGGCAAGACUGAUGAAAAAAGCAUCAGGGAGGGUUAAAACAGAUUAGCAAGGAACUGCUAGGUGAUGAAUGGAGCCUGUCCCUGCAAGCACUCCAGGUUAUCUUCAUCUUCAUGCCCACUGGGAAUUGACUCACAGGUGUUUUAGGAAGAAGCAGCUGCCUACUUUGUGACAUUUUGGCUUUUGCCUCCAGGUUGAGAAGGGAUACGAUAUACAACAGAGAGGAGACAGUCUGCUGGAGAUAUCUAACUGCAUUUUCUACACCCAAAGUAGAGCUUGUUUGGCAAGUGAACAGGAAGGUUUCUACAUCUCAAAUGCAAAAGGAGUCAGGUCCCAUUCCAUUGACAAAGGACUGAGUAUCUGAAAUGGCAGAAGUAUUUAAAGCAAAUUAAUACCAUUAGCAAAGUCAAAGCUGAUGAAAGAUGCUUGACAUAAGCUGACAUUUCUGAAGCCAACAUCCUCUGGUCACAAAGCAAAGCAGAGGGAGGCAGGGCUGCAUGCUGCCCCUCCGUAGGGCCCUGCACAGGGCUGAAAUGGAAACAUGCACGUUCCAACAUCCCACACAGCAUCUGCAACCCUUCCUCCUAAGGGUGAAGGCAUUUCAGGAAAUUGCGCACCAAUUGAUAACGCUUAUCUUCCCAGCACAAUUUGAAUCAAUGGAUUUAAAUCUACAUGCAAUUUACAGCAAUGGAUCAAAAAAAAUCAAUGUCGCAUAAACCCAAAUCUUGAGGCUGUAUGGGUUUCUAAUAAACACAUCUGUCACAGGCAGAGCCGUGGCAACAUUUAUAUAAGCAAUAUCACACUUUUUGAUGGAGUUUUCCUUUUUGUAAGUAUAAAACAAACAGACUCACAGCAUAUCUCUCAGUUAGCAGAUAAGCCGCACAGACAGGAAUCUUUGAUGCUUUAUCUUGCCUUGCCCUGAUUUUUGCCCCAAACAAAUUAAUAUGGUAGCACCCCCUCUCCUAAGAGUCACUGGGAUUUAUGAAGUAAAAAUAGUCUUCAUUCCUAUCUGACACAUGGUGACACUAAGGGAUGCAGAGAUCAACUGGGAAGAAAAAGCAAGAUGUUAAGUCUUUAAAACAGCACAGCACUACUGAUACCCAUACCCAGAGUUCAUCCACUGAGUCCAUAAAACUUACUGUAACCUUUGUCCUAGGAGGAUUACUCAUCUGCAAGUUAUCAGCAAAACCACCUUCUAUGAAGUAGGACACAAAAUCUGUACAAAUUUUCUUUUUUUUUUCCCCCCCAAACAUACAACUUUAAACUCCAAAGUCACUUAAAGUCCAGAAGCACAACAAAACCUCUCUGAGUAGCAUGCAAGCAGAGCAGAACAAGAGGAAUGAGCGGUAGAGAUGCGCUGCUUACUGCAUCCAGGUACAGAGGGGUCUAGGAGGUCAGAGUGGGUCCAUGCCCACGUCCAGAAUUACCCCACAGAGGAACUGGUGCUGCAUUGCCUUGCAGCACGCAACCCUUGCUCUAUGGGUGAAACUAUAGUAACUACAUGACCACUGGGAAUUAGCAUGAUCCCAGGUCAUAAAACUCCAUCAGAGCAGAUUAGCAAAUGACCAGGCCAGCGCUGGAUAGGAGUCUUUUUUCUUUUCUUUCCUUUCUGUUAAAGGGAGAAUAUCACAUAUGAAAUGCUAAUUCUGUUUUAAAUCAGAAGUAAAACAUACACAUGAC
Long non-coding RNA from Gallus gallus (chicken), 2087 nucleotides. NCBI's taxonomy places the organism in Eukaryota, Metazoa, Chordata, Aves, Galliformes, Phasianidae. The record is from Ensembl.